UACGAGUGGUGCAAGCGUUAUUCGGAAUCAUUGGGCGUAAAGGGCGUGUAGACGGCAUUUUAAGUCAACUGUUUAAUUCUCCAGCCUAACUGGAGGUCAGCGGUAGAAACUGAUGUGCUAGAGGGUGGAAGAGAGAAGUGGAAUUCUCGGAGUAGCGGUAAAAUGCGUAGAUCUCGAGAGGAACACCAAUGGCGAAGGCAGCUUCUUGGUCCACUCCUGACGUUGAAACACGAAAGCGUGGGGAGCAAACAGG
RNAcentral lists this ribosomal RNA (253 nucleotides) under uncultured bacterium. Its description in RNAcentral is "partial 16S ribosomal RNA". It matches the Rfam family "Bacterial small subunit ribosomal RNA", at positions 524 to 776 of the family's 1533-position model. The record is from RNAcentral.